RNAcentral lists this ribosomal RNA (501 nucleotides) under uncultured bacterium. Its description in RNAcentral is "partial 16S ribosomal RNA". It matches the Rfam family "Bacterial small subunit ribosomal RNA", at positions 30 to 523 of the family's 1533-position model. The record is from RNAcentral.
AUUGAACGCUGGCGGCAUGCCUUACACAUGCAAGUCGAACGGCAGCACAGGUGCUUGCACCUGGUGGCGAGUGGCGAACGGGUGAGUAAUAUAUCGGAACGUACCUUAUUGUGGGGGAUAACGCAGCGAAAGCUGUGCUAAUACCGCAUAAUCCCUAAGGGGGAAAGCGGGGGACCGUAAGGCCUCGCGCAAUUAGAGCGGCCGAUACCUGAUUAGCUAGUUGGUUAGGUAAAGGCUCACCAAGGCAACGAUCAGUAGCUGGUCUGAGAGGACGAUCAGCCACACUGGGACUGAGACACGGCCCAGACUCCGACGGGAGGCAGAAGUUGGGAAUUUUGGACAAUGGGGGCAACCCUGAUCCAGCAAUGCCGCGGGAGUGAAGAAGGCCUUCGGGUUGUAAAGCUCUUUUGUCAGGGAAGAAACAGCAGCUCUAACACAGUUUGCGAAUGACGGUACCUGAAGAAUAAGCACCGGCUAACUACGUGCCAGCAGCAGCCGCGG